AUUGAACGCUGGCGGAAUGCUUUACACAUGCAAGUCGAACGGCAGCACGGACUUCGGUCUGGUGGCGAGUGGCGAACGGGUGAGUAAUGUAUCGGAACGUGCCCAGUCGUGGGGGAUAACGUAGUGAAAAUUACGCUAAUACCGCAUACGAUCUAUGGAUGAAAGCGGGGGAUCGCAAGACCUCGCGCGAUUGGAGCGGCCAAUAUCAGAUUAGGUAGUUGGUGGGGUAAAGGCCCACCAAGCCAACGAUCUGUAGCUGGUCUGAGAGGACGACAAGCCACACUGGAACGGAGACACGGUCCAGACUCCUACGGGAGGCAGCAGUGGGGAAUUUUGGACAAUGGGCGAAAGCCUGAUCCAGCCAUUCCGCGUGCAGGAUGAAGGCCCUCGGGUUGUAAACUGCUUUUGUACAGAACGAAAAGGUUUCUACUAAUACUAGGAGCUCAUGACGGUACUGUAAGAAUAAGCACCGGCUAACUACGUGCCAGCCGCCGCCGUAA
RNAcentral lists this ribosomal RNA (500 nucleotides) under uncultured bacterium. RNAcentral describes it as "partial 16S ribosomal RNA". It matches the Rfam family "Bacterial small subunit ribosomal RNA", at positions 30 to 523 of the family's 1533-position model. The record is from RNAcentral.